Rosa chinensis is the source of this 505-nucleotide long non-coding RNA. RefSeq lists it as uncharacterized. The transcript has 3 exons. The record is from RefSeq and is a predicted model, not a curated record. Lineage: Eukaryota; Viridiplantae; Streptophyta; Magnoliopsida; Rosales; Rosaceae.
UAGUGAGGAGAAGCUCUCAGAAGCAGAGGCCACAAGCCCACAAUUUCAUUGAGAAACGAUGAAAAAAAAAUAAAGGUAAAUACUUCAUUAAAUAUUUAAAUUUUGCUAUUUUGAUAAUUGUAUCGGCAUUAUUCUCAUAAUUGUAGUUGACGCGAGAGAUUUGGGCUUGUUCGAGAUGUCUACGUUCCCAAGCAUUACUACACUGGGGUGAUUACGUAAAUUCAAUGAGAGCAGCACAGGAGUUCAGCUCAAGAAUGUUUGAUUCCAUAAAGAUGGUUUCAACAAUGAAGAAGUCGAUCUUUGAUGAACAAACUAACAAGGCCUAAAGGAAAUUGCAAAAGAAUGCUCAAAAGAAGAAUAAGCAUCAUGAUGUGGUUCGAGCUGAAUGGGCAAAUCAUGUUAUACAGUUCUAACUUUGGUUCUGUUUAAGGUAGAUGAGUAGCACUUGGAACUGCUUUUGUGCAUUUAUAUAUAACUGAUGGAAAGUGUUGAUGAACUUAAAUUA